RNAcentral lists this ribosomal RNA (104 nucleotides) under Microtus ochrogaster (prairie vole). The record is from RNAcentral. Lineage: Eukaryota; Metazoa; Chordata; Mammalia; Rodentia; Cricetidae.
GUCUAUGACCACACCCUGAAUGUUUCUGAUCUCAUCUCAUUUGGGGAGUUAAGCAGGGUCUGACCUGGUUAAUACUUGGAUAGGAAAACUGGGUAUUAUCACCC